RNAcentral lists this ribosomal RNA (439 nucleotides) under uncultured bacterium. RNAcentral's name for it is "bacterial SSU rRNA". It matches the Rfam family "Bacterial small subunit ribosomal RNA", at positions 954 to 1392 of the family's 1533-position model. The record is from RNAcentral.
GCUAAACGCGAAGAACCUUACCUACUCUUGACAUCCACGGAAGACUGCAGAGAUGCGGUUGUGCCUUCGGGAACCGUGAGACAGGUGCUGCAUGGCUGUCGUCAGCUCGUGUUGUGAAAUGUUGGGUUAAGUCCCGCAACGAGCGCAACCCCUAUCCUUAUUUGCCAGCACGUAAUGGUGGGAACUCUAGGGAGACUGCCGGUGAUAAACCGGAGGAAGGUGGGGACAACGUCAAGUCAUCAUGGCCCUUACGAGUAGGGCUACACACGUGCUACAAUGGCGAGUACAGAGGGUUGCAAAGCCGCGAGGUGGAGCUAAUCUCACAAAGCUCGUCGUAGUCCGGAUUGGAGUCUGCAACUCGACUCCAUGAAGUCGGAAUCGCUAGUAAUCGUGGAUCAGAAUGCCACGGUGAAUACGUUCCCGGGUCUUGUACACACCG